UACAGAGGUCCCAAGCGUUGUUCGGAUUCAUUGGGCGUAAAGGGUGUGUAGGUGGCGCCGUAAGUCGGGUGUGAAAUCUCGGGGCUUAACUCCGAAACUGCAUUCGAUACUGCGGUGCUUGAGGACUGGAGAGGAGACUGGAAUUCAUGGUGUAGCAGUGAAAUGCGUAGAUAUCUGGAGGAACACCGGUGGCGAAGGCGGCAUCCUGGACCAAUACUGACACUGAGGAGCGAAAGCCAGGGGAGCAAACGGG
RNAcentral lists this ribosomal RNA (253 nucleotides) under uncultured bacterium. RNAcentral's name for it is "partial 16S ribosomal RNA". It matches the Rfam family "Bacterial small subunit ribosomal RNA", at positions 524 to 776 of the family's 1533-position model. The record is from RNAcentral.